AAGACUAUACUUUCAGGGAUCAUUUCUGUAGUUUCUGACUUGACAAAUGUGCUUCUAAAGUGUAUGAUCUCGCUAACCAUGAUGAUGAGUUAUGAUAUUUCCUUCUGAGCAUGAAGUGGACAGAGAUUAAUUUCAUAUGUUCUCUGUCAUUGAUGAUUGUUCUUUGCUUCUUCAUGGUGUAAUGAAAAAGGGAAUAUGUUCAGAGUGGU
Molecule: small nucleolar RNA, 209 nt
Organism: Mugil cephalus (flathead mullet)
Lineage: Eukaryota; Metazoa; Chordata; Actinopteri; Mugiliformes; Mugilidae
Product: small nucleolar RNA U3
Exons: 1
Source: RefSeq, a predicted model, not a curated record